GUACGGUCGCAAGAUUGAAACUCAAAGGAAUUGACGGGGGCCCGCACAAGCGGAGGAACAUGUGGUCUAAUUCGAUGAUACGCGAGGAACCUUACCUGGGGCUUAAAUGCAGAGCGACGUCCGCCGAAAGGUGGAUUCCUUCGGGCGAUCUGCAAGGUGCUGCAUGGUUGUCGUCAGCUCGUGCCGUGAGGUGUCGGGUUAAGUCCCAUAACGAGCGCAACCCUUAUCGUUAGUUGCCAGCGGGUAAUGCCGGGGACUCUAACGAAACUGCCGGUGUAAACCGUGAGGAAGGUGGGGAUGACGUCAAAUCAGCACGGCCCUUAUGUCCAGGGCUACACACGUGUUACAAUGGUCGGUACAGAGGGCAGCUACCACGCAAGUGGAUGCUAAUCUCGAAAACCGGUCUCAGUUCGGAUUGAAGUCUGCAACUCGACUUCAUGAAGCUGGAUUCGCUAGUAAUCGCGCAUCAGCCAUGGCUCGGUGAUACGUUCCCGGGCAUUGUACACACCGCCCGUCAAGCCAUGGAAGCUUGGGGUACCUGAAGUCCGUACGCGCAAGGAGCGUCCUAGGGUAAGACAA
This 579-nucleotide ribosomal RNA is filed under the name uncultured organism. Its description in RNAcentral is "bacterial SSU rRNA". It matches the Rfam family "Bacterial small subunit ribosomal RNA", at positions 880 to 1470 of the family's 1533-position model. The record is from RNAcentral.